GGUCAUAGCUUGGAAAGAUCAAUGUUCAAAGGCAUGAAAAUUGCUAGUGAGUCAGGUGGAUAUAUAUUAAAUACUGUGUAGCCAAGAAAUCAAGUUGAGAUGAACGAUGGCGGGGAAAAGAAUGGAUAUUUAGUAUAAAAAUAAUAAAUUACAACAUAGUUGACAAUUUUUACAGAAAUUAAGAAAAGAUUUAUGAGUGUUUAAAAACAAAAUUCAAAAAAUUAACCUUUAGUUAAUACUAGCUCAAAAUGAUAGAAAGCAGUUUUUUCGUCUAAGGUAUCCUGUAGUAAGUUUGCUAAUUUAUUCC
Molecule: long non-coding RNA, 307 nt
Filed under: Medicago truncatula (barrel medic)
Lineage: Eukaryota; Viridiplantae; Streptophyta; Magnoliopsida; Fabales; Fabaceae
Description: long non-coding RNA (MTRU_LNC004897)
Source: RNAcentral